This is a long non-coding RNA of Homo sapiens (human), 2665 nucleotides long. Ensembl annotates it as family with sequence similarity 27 member C. Its record names the gene FAM27C. The record is from Ensembl. NCBI's taxonomy places the organism in Eukaryota, Metazoa, Chordata, Mammalia, Primates, Hominidae.
GGCGCGAGCGGUUUCUCCCGUCACAGUGGUUCCCACGGUUGUCUUAGAAACCAGACCCCGAGGCUUGGCAGAGCAGGAGCCCUCGGUGGCAGUGCUUGGGUGUCGAGGCUCUGAGGCUCCGGCCUCACCUCUCCACGGGGUCGAAGGGAACGUCUCCGGAUGCCAGGAGUCGCAAAGGGCCGACCAUGAUGAUGAAACCCCAGGCAGAGACGGGGGAAGCAGCACGGGAUCCCAGCCUCAGGCCUGCACGGACGGUGUUGGUUGGGAGACGAGGUCUCACUAUAUUGACCAGGCUGGUCUUGAACUCCUGGCCUUAAGCGAUCCUCCUGCCUUGGCCUCCCAAAGUGCUGGAGUUACAGAUGUGAGCCUCUGUGCUCAGUCCAUCCUUGGCUGUUCAAGUGUAGAGGUCCAGUGUCUGAUUCUUUUGGGAAGCUGGAUAUGAAGUCAGAAUCUUUCUUUGAGUCAUACAUUUUCAUGAUUAUGAUUAUUAUUGAAUGAUAGCUGACAAUUAUUGAGAGCAAUUAUUGAGGACAAUUAUUGAGCUUUCACAAGCCCUUUUCAAAGGUCUUUACAUAUAUUUUCUCCACUUCUAACUGUUAGAUAUUCUUAUUAUUCCCAUUUUGUAGAUGAGGGAUACACAGGCAUAAAGCCUAUGUGGAGGCAGAGAGCAGCUACGUAACCUGACCAUGGCCCAACAGCAAACAAAUGAUGGGGCCACAUGCAAAUCCAGGCAGAAUCCUUCUAUUAUAUGAAGCUCAAUGUUUUCUUGUUUGCAGCUUGUUAUGAAUACAUCUAUUUGCAAAUGGGUUUUGAAGCUACUUUAAAACAUUUUGUGGCUGUGCGUGGUGGCUGGCACCUGUAAUCCCAGCAUUAUGGGAGACCAAGGUGGGCAGAUUGCCUGAGCUCAGGAGUUUGAGACCAACCUGGCCAACAUGGUGAAACCCUGUGCCUACUAAAAAUACAAAAAAAUUAGCCAGGUGUGUUGGUGUGCACCUGUAAUCCCAGCUACUCUGGAGGGUGAGGCAGGAGAAUCACUUGAACCCAGGAGAGGAAGGUUGCAGUAAGCUGAGAUCAUGCCACUGAACUCCAGCCUGGGCAACAGAGUGAGAUUCUGUCUCCAAAUAAAAAAUAAAUAAGAUUGAAUUUUGAGCUCCUGACCAUGUCCCUAGAUUGUACUCAUAUGUAUUUUGAUGUCUAAUAAGAUUUAUUCUCAGUGCAUUUUUUAAGUGAAAGUAUUUAUUGAGCAUCUACUGUAUAUCAUGUGCUGAAAUAGGCACCAGUGGUGCAGGGAACAUAUGGCACAGUGUCUGACCUCAGGUAACUUUCACUCUCAUACAUAUGUAUUAGGACACCAACACAUGUGUGAAUAUAAGAUAGUAUGAUAGAUAUUGCAACAAGUAAUUAUUUACUGUAAACCUAUUUUAUAGGAUUUUAAACUUAAACUACUUUCACCCUAUUUCCAAAAAAAAGUAUUGCAUAACUUUAAAUAGAUUCUCAGUUUGAAAUCAUCAUACAAACUGCAGUAGCAUCUGCUGGUGAAAUACUGCUUUGUAUCUAUUAGAAUAGUCCAAACAAUUGUGAGACAACUGCAUUAUUAGAGCUGUAAAAGUUAUUGUCUAGAAAUCUCAGAGAAGAAGAGGAAGUUCUAUGGUAGAUGAAUAAGAUGACAUCUAAACUGUUCUCUUCAGCUACUGAAGUUCUGUGGAUAUCUCACAGCACAAAGUUCAAGUGUAUGCCCACAGCUCCUCAUGCCACAAGAUGUGACACCUUUCCAAUCUCUUUUUGCAAAAGUUUCCAAUUAUGUCUCUUUUAAGAGUACUUUUUAUACCCACAUAUUCCAGAUUUUGUGGUGCACGCAAAGACAAGAUGGGAAGGGGCUUCCAUUUAUUGAUGCCAGCUGCUCCAUGGACCAGGCCCUGCCCAUGCAUCCAUGUUGGUUCUUUUAUCCCCACAUCAGCCAUAGCCCAUAAGCAUUAACUGCCAUUGCACAGAUGAGGAAAUUGAAAGUCUAAGAGAAUAUGCAAUCUACCCAGAGUCAUGCAGCUUGUGUAUGUAAGGGUUGGAAUGAAAAUCCAAUCUGUGUGAGUCCCAAGUCCCCUUCCACCAUAUGGUUUCCAUUUCAUUUUGCAAUCAGAUUGGCUGGGAUAUGUCUGCCCUAAAAGACAGUAAGUAGGAAUAUUUGUCUCUAUACCUUAACCUGACAUCCAUGGGCUUGCUUUUUGUAUUUGGAGGUGUCAUAACAUUAUAAUAAUAAUUUGAUUUUAUUUGUACAGUGGAUAUUAUACUACUCAGUCUAGAGAUUUAUGACAUCCCAGUCUAAACUGGAUGAUAGCAAUGAAGCUUCUUCAAGGAGACAAGUAUGAGUAAUAAGGUAGUAAUAAGCUGAAUUUCUAUGGAGUUGCUACUUCUGAAUUAAAACUAGUUGAGAUUAAGUAGAUAUUCAAAAAUAUUGCUAUAAUCUUCACUUGAAUAAUACAAACAUUUAUUAUUUUUACAUAUUUAUUUAUUUAUGGAACAUAGAUGUAAUUUUAAAACAAUAUUUUCAAAUUAUAUUAAAAUAUAUUAAAAACAUAAUACAUUAUCACCCAAUAGAGUUUUUCAAAGUAACUCAGUGUUAGUUUAAAAUGUGAAAUUCAAUCAACAUAAUUCACCAUAGAAUACAGUG